GGANUUGCGAAUGGGCGAAGCCUGACGCAGCAACGCCGCGUGGGGGAUGAAGCUUCUCGGAGUGUAAACCCCUUUCGACCCGGACGAAUGCCCGCAAGGGCUUGACGGUACGGGUAUAAGAAGCCCCGGCUAACUACGUGCCAGCAGCCGCGGUAAGACGUAGGGGGCCAGCGUUGCUCGGAAUUACUGGGCGUAAAGGGUCCGUAGGCGGUGUGGCAAGUCGGGAGUGAAAUCUCUGGGCUUAACUCAGAGGCUGCUUCCGAAACUGCUGUGCUAGAGUGUGAGAGAGGCGAGUGGAAUUACGGGUGUAGCGGUGAAAUGCGUAGAUAUCCGUAGGAACAUCCGAGGCGAAAGCGGCUCGCUGGAUCACAACUGACGCUGAGGGACGAAAGCUAGGGGAGCAAACAGGAUUAGAUACCCUGGUAGUCCUAGCCCUAAACCAUCAGGACUUGGGGUUUGCCCUGUACGGGGCAAGUCCCGUAGCUAACGCGUUAAGUCCUGCGCCUGGGGAGUACGGUCGCAAGACUGAAACUCAAAAAAAUUGACGGA
This 549-nucleotide ribosomal RNA is filed under the name uncultured bacterium. RNAcentral describes it as "bacterial SSU rRNA". It matches the Rfam family "Bacterial small subunit ribosomal RNA", at positions 359 to 917 of the family's 1533-position model. The record is from RNAcentral.